UGUCACAAUGGUGGCUUCUAUGGUAUGU
RNAcentral lists this non-coding RNA (28 nucleotides) under Rattus norvegicus (Norway rat). Lineage: Eukaryota; Metazoa; Chordata; Mammalia; Rodentia; Muridae. The record is from RNAcentral.